Molecule: unclassified non-coding RNA, 240 nt
Filed under: soil metagenome
Description: partial contains 5.8S ribosomal RNA, internal transcribed spacer 2, and large subunit ribosomal RNA
Source: RNAcentral
AACGGUCUAUACCUGCGGUACCUGCGGAGGGAUCAUUACAGUGCCGCGGGGUGCGCCGGUCACGGCCUCCGCCCCGCACGCGCCCACACGUGUCUACCGUACCUUCUGUUGCCUCGGCGGGCCCGUCGCUCCUUCCCUCCACCACGGCGGGAAGGCGCGGCCGCCGGGUGGCACCUGCCGCCCGGUCCGCGCCCGCCAGAGGGCCACUUGAACCCUAUUCUGUGAAUCCUGUGACGUCUG